This 324-nucleotide ribosomal RNA is filed under the name uncultured bacterium. RNAcentral's name for it is "bacterial SSU rRNA". It matches the Rfam family "Bacterial small subunit ribosomal RNA", at positions 28 to 346 of the family's 1533-position model. The record is from RNAcentral.
GAUGAACGCUAGCGGCAGGCUUAAUACAUGCAAGUCGAGGGGCAGCAGGGGUAGCAAUACCCGCUGGCGACCGGCAAACGGGUGCGGAACACGUACAGAACCUUCCUUUAAGUGGGGAAUAGCCCGGAGAAAUCCGGAUUAAUACCCCGUAACAUUAUUGAAGUGGCAUCACUUUAUAAUUAUAGAUUUAUUCGCUUAGAGGUGGCUGUGCGGCUGAUUAGGUAGUUGGUGCGGGUAACGGCCCACCAAGCCUGCGAUCAGUAACUGGUGUGAGAGCACGACCAGUCACACGGGCACUGAGACACGGGCCCGACUCCUACGGGA